GGGUGUAUCGCUCAGUUGGUAGAACAUUGGGAUUUUAACCUAAUGGUCAUAGGUUUAAGUCCUACUAUACCCA
Non-coding RNA from Hordeum vulgare subsp. vulgare (domesticated barley), 73 nucleotides. Lineage: Eukaryota; Viridiplantae; Streptophyta; Magnoliopsida; Poales; Poaceae. The record is from Rfam.